RNAcentral lists this ribosomal RNA (420 nucleotides) under Escherichia coli. RNAcentral's name for it is "partial 23S ribosomal RNA". It matches the Rfam family "Bacterial large subunit ribosomal RNA", at positions 2221 to 2640 of the family's 2925-position model. The record is from RNAcentral. Lineage: Bacteria; Pseudomonadati; Pseudomonadota; Gammaproteobacteria; Enterobacterales; Enterobacteriaceae.
UCUAACGUGGACCCGUAAUCCGGGUUGCGGACAGUGUCUGGUGGGUAGUUUGACUGGGGCGGUCUCCUCCUAAAGAGUAACGGAGGAGCACGAAGGUUGGCUAAUCCUGGUCGGACAUCAGGAGGUUAGUGCAAUGGCAUAAGCCAGCUUGACUGCGAGCGUGACGGCGCGAGCAGGUGCGAAAGCAGGUCAUAGUGAUCCGGUGGUUCUGAAUGGAAGGGCCAUCGCUCAACGGAUAAAAGGUACUCCGGGGAUAACAGGCUGAUACCGCCCAAGAGUUCAUAUCGACGGCGGUGUUUGGCACCUCGAUGUCGGCUCAUCACAUCCUGGGGCUGAAGUAGGUCCCAAGGGUAUGGCUGUUCGCCAUUUAAAGUGGUACGCGAGCUGGGUUUAGAACGUCGUGAGACAGUUCGGUCCCUA